This 177-nucleotide small RNA is filed under the name Chrysemys picta bellii (western painted turtle). RNAcentral's name for it is "TUC338 (ENSCPBG00000018312.1)". Lineage: Eukaryota; Metazoa; Chordata; Testudines; Emydidae. The record is from RNAcentral.
UUGACAGCUGCGGAGACUUAAAUCCUUUGUUUAUCCACAGAACAGACACUCCACAGGCAGCGGCACUGCAAGUUCCCCAUGUUACUCUGCCAGUGUGCCCACUUCUAAUCUAGAGGGACCAUCUCUAGGGGCCAGAAGAUAGCUUAUUCACCAUGGCCCUUCACCCUGACAGACCCA